AGAGGGGUGCAAGCGUUAAUCGGAAUUACUGGGCGUAAAGGGUGCGCAGGUGGAUAAUCAAGUUGGGAUGUGAAAGCCCCGGGCUCAACCUGGGACGGUCACUCAAUACUGGUUUUCUAGAGUACAGUAGAGGAUAGUGGAAUUUUCGGUGUAGCGGUGAAAUGCGUAGAUAUCGAAAGGAACAUCAAUGGCGAAGGCAGCUAUCUGGGCUGAUACUGACACUGAGGCACGAAAGCGUGGGUAGCAAACAGGAUUAGAUACCCUGGUAGUCCACGCCGUAAACGAUGAAAACUAGCCGUUGGGGAUUUUAAAUCUUUAGUGGCGCAGCUAACGCGUUAAGUUUUCCGCCUGGGGAGUACGGCCGCAAGGUUA
RNAcentral lists this ribosomal RNA (372 nucleotides) under uncultured organism. RNAcentral's name for it is "partial 16S ribosomal RNA". It matches the Rfam family "Bacterial small subunit ribosomal RNA", at positions 526 to 896 of the family's 1533-position model. The record is from RNAcentral.